Long non-coding RNA from Chroicocephalus ridibundus (black-headed gull), 627 nucleotides. RefSeq lists it as uncharacterized. Lineage: Eukaryota; Metazoa; Chordata; Aves; Charadriiformes; Laridae. The transcript has 4 exons. The record is from RefSeq and is a predicted model, not a curated record.
GUUUGACGUGGGGCUUCAAGCUGAAAAGCAAAACAGUUAUUCACUGGGAAUAAUGCUGAGGCCAUUUCUAGAGCAACAUGGAUGCAUAAAAAACAGUGUAUGCUGCAUGUGGCAACCGACCCUACGUUUUUACACACGGAUCAUGGAAUUACUUGAAAAAAGCUAUACGUAACCAAAUCUCCUUUGCAGAUGCAGCAAGGACCUGUCCAACUGCUCUAUUAAUAGCUGCCCCUGACUGUAAAAUGCUGUGUUCAAGCCUUGAUGGAAGGGAAUACUCUAGAAUUGCCUCACUACAAUGUGUUUCUAUCUAGAGUCUUGCUCAGGUUCAGGUCCAGCUCUUCUCCUGUUGACCUCUGAAGGUAGCUGUUGUAGUCCAACAACUUGUCAUAGCGCUUCUGGAUGAGCUUCUGUGGGCCUGAAAACAAGGCUUGUAGCGCUGAGAGAGGAGACAAAACAAGUUUGUCCAGCUGAGCCAUCUGGAAAGAAACUCAUCCAAAAAAACUGUUCAUCUUUCCCAAUGGAUUCCUAAGGUUUCUUGCUGUUUUCUGUCCCAGUCUUCCUCACAUACACCCGUUUUCUCACACGUACGGAUAGCUGUGUAACACUGGACAUUGCAUAAACUUACAA